GUCCACGCCGUAAACGAUGGGUGCUAGGUGUGGGGGUGUCGACUCCCCCGUGCCGAAGCUAACGCAUUAAGCACCCCGCCUGGGGAGUACGGCCGCAAGGCUAAAACUCAAAGGAAUUGACGGGGCCCGCACAAGCAGCGGAGCAUGUGGUUUAAUUCGACGCAACGCGAAGAACCUUACCAAGGCUUGACAUGCACUUGAAAAACGUGGAAACACGUUCCCUCUUCGGAGCAAGUGCACAGGUGGUGCAUGGCUGUCGU
RNAcentral lists this ribosomal RNA (260 nucleotides) under uncultured bacterium. Its description in RNAcentral is "partial 16S ribosomal RNA". It matches the Rfam family "Bacterial small subunit ribosomal RNA", at positions 793 to 1055 of the family's 1533-position model. The record is from RNAcentral.